CUACGGGCCGCUGCAGUGAGGAAUAUUGCACAAUGGGGGGAACCCUGAUGCAGCGACGCCGCGUGGAGGAUGACGCAUUUCGGUGUGUAAACUCCUUUUAUAUGUCAAGAAAAUGACGGUAGCAUAUGAAUAAGCACCGGCUAACUCCGUGCCAGCAGCCGCGGUAAUACGGAGGGUGCAAGCGUUACUCGGAAUCACUGGGCGUAGAGGACGCGUAGGCGGGUUGGAAAGUCAGGUGUGAAAUCCUACAGCUUAACUGUAGAACUGCACUUGAAACUUCUAAUCUAGAGUAUGGGAGGGGGAGAUGGAAUUAGUGGUGUAGGGGUAAAAUCCGUAGAUAUCACUAGGAAUACCUAAAGCGAAGGCGAUCUCCUGGAACAUUACUGACGCUAAGGCGUGAAAGCGUGGGGAGCAAACAGGAUUAGAUACCCCAGUAGUC
This 439-nucleotide ribosomal RNA is filed under the name uncultured bacterium. Its description in RNAcentral is "partial 16S ribosomal RNA". It matches the Rfam family "Bacterial small subunit ribosomal RNA", at positions 339 to 795 of the family's 1533-position model. The record is from RNAcentral.